CUGUGAUGAACUUACCUAGAUGACGAGUCUGAUUCAGUUUUUCUGAUGCGGACACACACAAACUACCAUUCAUGCAUUUCCUGACC
This 86-nucleotide small nucleolar RNA is filed under the name Capronia coronata CBS 617.96. Lineage: Eukaryota; Fungi; Ascomycota; Eurotiomycetes; Chaetothyriales; Herpotrichiellaceae. The record is from RNAcentral.